AUUGAACGCUGGCGGCAUGCUUUACACAUGCAAGUCGAACGGCAGCGCGGGCUUCGGCCUGGCGGCGAGUGGCGAACGGGUGAGUAAUGCAUCGGAACGUGCCCAGUAGUGGGGGAUAGCCCGGCGAAAGCCGGAUUAAUACCGCAUACGACCUGAGGGUGAAAGCGGGGGACCGAAAGGCCUCGCGCGAUUGGAGCGGCCGAUGUCGGAUUAGCUAGUUGGUGGGGUAAAGGCUUACCAAGGCGACGAUCCGUAGCUGGUCUGAGAGGACGACCAGCCACACUGGGACUGAGACACGGCCCAGACUCCUACGGGAGGCAGCAGUGGGGAAUGUUGGACAAUGGGGGCAACCCUGAUCCAGCCAUGCCGCGUGCGGGAAGAAGGCCUUCGGGUUGUAAACCGCUUUUGUUCGGGAAGAAAUCCUCUGGGCUAAUACCCCGGGGGGAUGACGGUACCGGAAGAAUAAGCACCGGCUAACUACGUG
Molecule: ribosomal RNA, 484 nt
Filed under: uncultured bacterium
Lineage: Bacteria
Description: partial 16S ribosomal RNA
Rfam family: Bacterial small subunit ribosomal RNA
Source: RNAcentral